Chinchilla lanigera (long-tailed chinchilla) is the source of this 1837-nucleotide long non-coding RNA. The record is from Ensembl. Lineage: Eukaryota; Metazoa; Chordata; Mammalia; Rodentia; Chinchillidae.
ACUUGUACAAAGCAAGGGUCCAAGUACCCAAUGUGACAUCCCUGAAGAUUGAGAACCUGACCCCACAGGACAGUGGGUGAUACAAGGCACACGGCAGGUUAACUGAUGGAACAGAAUUUUUCCAAAAUUUCCACCUCAAGGUCUAUGAGCCUGUGUCCCCCCACUGAUCCUAGUCAAGGCUUUGUCCAUUACACCAGGCUGGUGCAAUGUCACCCUGGACUGCAGGGCCACAGGGGCCACAGAGGACCUGAAUGUGACCUGGGAGAGCAAGGGCCUUCCCAGGGAGCUGGAGCUGAGAGGGACACCAGGACCAGGCCCCAACCCCUGGGCCCAGGCUGUGAGCCUGCCCCUGAGCGAGGCCAACGCCAGCCUCAACUGUGUGGUCAGCAACCCCAUGGACCAGAACAAUGCCACCUCAGGACUUGGUGACAUUUGUUCAUGAGGUGAGUGCUGAGCUGGGUGUGGUGGCACAUGCCUGUCACCCCAGCACUUGGGAGGCUGAGGCAGGACGAUCGUUUUGAGUUUGAGACCAACCUGCACUACAAAGUGAGCUCUAGGCCGACCUGAACUUCAUAGUGAGGAGCUGUCUCAAAAAGACAAAAAAAAACCAACAGAACACCAGGUGAGUGCCAGCUCUUGGCCAUUAGGCUGUCAGGAAGCUCAGGGAGCAGUGAGUCUGAGUCGCCCAGACUUUCCUCCCUGCCAUGUUCUUUAGGACCAUCCACCUGCACAUGGUCACACCGUGCAGAAGUCUGGGGUCACAUCCCACUGACAUCUGCCUGUAAAUGUCCCUCACAUCCCUGUCCCUCCCUGCUGGUCCCGGCAGCAGCCAUCCAAUGUCUCUCCCGCUCUGGGUACAGAGUGGGCUUUGCAAAAGCAGAUCAGACUGUGGCAUAUGUCAGGGUCAUCUCUGCAUCUGACCUUCAGUUACUCCUGUAGGACUCAGGGCUCACACGUUCUCUGCCCACGUAGUCCAUUCAUGAGUACCCUUCACACAGAACUGCUGCUGUAGCCCCUCAAUCUGCACUGCCACUGAGAGUCUUGAAGGUGUCAGCUCUUCUAGGCAGCUGUGCAGGACAACCCACACUUAGUAACUGUGCACUCUUGUGUUUGAAUCCUGCAUAGAAUAGAAAUCCUGGAGAUCAGGGUCACGUGUUUGCACCUUUUCAAUUCUCCCCACAACAGCUCUGGACAAUGUCUGUGCAUUAAAGGGGUUUCAUUAAAUGCACAACGGACCUGGGACCUGUGUGUGGCCUCCUCUUCUCUGACGUUUCUUCCAGAAGCUGCUGGAGAAUCUACUAUGUCACAGUCAACUGUAACCCCUAGGCACAUUGCCCACACACCUCUUAUUCUGAAUACUCAAAUAAAUUUCUCUACCAAAUAUGGCCCAGGAUACACUCUGGACUCCCCUCUUGCCCUCCUUUGACCCUAGAUAGUUAGCUUUUCCCUCCCUGCUAGAAUAAUCUAGAAAACACCCACUUUCUUGCCAGACUCACUUACCCAGGACCGUCUAGAGAGGCCCUUCCCCUGCCUUGUACAAGGUGAAACCUCAGUCGCAGCGAGAUGUCUCUGGCUGGUAGUUGAUAUUUUCUUUCUUCCUUCCCUGAGGAGAAGCUCCCACAGCUGACCUCAUUGGAGGCAUCUUCAGGGGAAUCACAGCGGUGCUGUUCUUCCUGGGAGCUGGACUGUGCCUGAGGAGAACUCGAGACAAAAAGAAGAUGAUGGAAACAGAAGUGGCAGGUUGCACUUCUCCUUAUGGGCAAUGACCUCCUCUCUCCCAGUGCACCCUGGGCUUUUCCCUCCUGCACUUUGCUACCAGGAAGUGGGUCCUGCAGAG